This 336-nucleotide RNase P RNA is filed under the name Candidatus Doudnabacteria bacterium RIFCSPHIGHO2_01_48_18. RNAcentral's name for it is "RNase P RNA component class A". It matches the Rfam family "Bacterial RNase P class A". From Rfam's summary of the family: Ribonuclease P (RNase P) is a ubiquitous endoribonuclease, found in archaea, bacteria and eukarya as well as chloroplasts and mitochondria. Lineage: Bacteria; Candidatus Doudnaibacteriota. The record is from RNAcentral. RNAcentral also lists the same sequence under 6 other names.
AAAGUAAAUCGGGUAGCUGCCCCGACUCAAAAGGUCGGGGAGGAAAGUCCGAACACUCAGGAUUUGAUGACCGCAUAUGAGUUAUCAAGACCAAGGGUAGCGGGUAACCCCCGUCCGCAGUAAUGCGCGAGAUGCGAACAGAGACGUCUCGAGACGAAAGAAUCGAGAUAUCCUAGCAAUAGGAUAAGUUCUGAUGGCAACAUCAGAAAUGAAACGGCUAAACUCUUACUUGAGUGCAAACCCAAAUUUGGUAGGGUGCAUGAGCUGACUGGCGACAGGCAGCCAAGAUAGAUAGCUACACAAAUACAGAAUUCGGCUUACAGAUUUGCUUUGGGC